GUUCUUUUAAUAUUGUAUACUUGUAUUAAAAAAUGAUGCUUUCUGAGUUUAUUAUUCCCUUGAAUGUAUAGUGUCAUGCAUAGUGAAUUGGAAGAUUUGGUGUGAAAGUAUUAUCUGUAUGGUCAAUCCUGUUUUACAUAUAGCAAUCAGCAUAACAUUGGCUAUUUUUUCCCUUAUACUGCUAGUCUUAGAGCAUCCAAUCUAAAAGCUUGAGCAAAUGGGUGCGGGCCUAUAAUUCAUAUAAAAUUACACAGUCCUUAAUAUGCUUCCUGAUUAAU
This 278-nucleotide unclassified non-coding RNA is filed under the name Hevea brasiliensis (rubber tree). Lineage: Eukaryota; Viridiplantae; Streptophyta; Magnoliopsida; Malpighiales; Euphorbiaceae. The record is from RNAcentral.